UAAAAGAUGACUUUUUGUGAACGUCGCAUGGCGGCGUUUUCGUACAUUUUUCUUUUACAGUGAAGGCUUCAUCUAUUGAUUAAAAUUGAACGUUAAGUGUAUAAAAUUUCUCAGCUGUUUAUGUUGAAUAGGUGCAAUUUUGGUGGGUACUCGAUGCAAUUUGGGUACCAUGAGACUAAGUCACUUAAGAUCUUAAAAUCGGUAUGAUGUCUACAAAAAAUAAAAGAGAAACAAACAACAAAAUGAAAAAUGGAAAAAAAGAUGAUCAUUUGAACAGGUCAGCAAACUCGACUCUGAAAACAUAAGAUGUAGUGACCUUAGCCCGGUCCUAACUCAGUAGCGCUAAAUCGGCAAACAGACCAGUUUCAUUGGUGGCAAAUACAUAUAUCGUGGUAAUGACAUGAUUUUCUCGAUGUGUAUCUAAUGUACAGUCGAAAUAUAUAUGUUUAUUAAAGAAAAUGGAGGAUAUUUCAUUGAGUGUGAUAUGGUAACGAGUAGUUGUUCCUUUUUGAUUGCAUUGUUUUUGGUAUAUUACUGUCUCACCUACAUUUGCCUUUAAAUCUUAUUAUUGAUAUUUUUACCUCGUAAUGAAAGUUUCUAGAUCCUUCAUUCUAUAAAUUAUUUUAGUGUAAUUGAUAGCCUUGUAUAUUUAGUGACUUUUUAGUGUAAAUACAUUGAUCUGUUAUUUUUUAUUUUAUUAAGACUUUAAUGAAUAAAACAUGUUUUCCGCCAUCCUAUUUCUUUUUUUUUGAAAUUUGUAUACUAGUGUGACAGUAUUUUUGGAACAGUUUUACUUAUAUUAUUAAUUAUUGUACCAUUGAUACGUAAUACAAUGCAUUUUAAAUUCAUUUUAAAUCAUGUAUGCAUAUUUAUUUUGCAUCACUUUUACAAUCAGAUGACAAUAGUGAGUUAAGCUAUUGUAUU
This 924-nucleotide long non-coding RNA is filed under the name Mytilus galloprovincialis (Mediterranean mussel). The record is from RNAcentral. Lineage: Eukaryota; Metazoa; Mollusca; Bivalvia; Mytilida; Mytilidae.